Drosophila sechellia is the source of this 726-nucleotide RNA transcript. It is a transcript of the gene named Hezron, with no coding region annotated. NCBI's taxonomy places the organism in Eukaryota, Metazoa, Arthropoda, Insecta, Diptera, Drosophilidae. The transcript has 4 exons. The record is from RefSeq and is a predicted model, not a curated record.
AGUUUCAAGUUUCUUGGCCAAGAUGUCAUCAUUGGCUCCUUGCUUCACUGUGGGCUCAAUAGUGCGCUGCAAGACUUGUUUUGGCGACAACGUUUCGGGAGAAGUUGUGGCCUUCGAUCUGGGCGUGAAAAUGCUGAUAAUGAAGUGUCCAUCGAGCAAUGGCGGUGGCGACGAACAGACCACUUGCAAUGUGACCAUUGUGAAUCUAUCCCUGUGCAUGGACAUUGAAAUAGUGAAGGAAACAAUGCCGCCGGCUGAAGUUCAGCAGCCGGAACCGAUUGAUAUAACCAUGAUCCGAGAACGAUACCGAUACGCAACCGAACAUCGUACUCUCUCCUGCCGGAGCUAUCAUCCCAAUGUCUCGCCCUUCGGACAAGCUUUGUUUAGGGUGUUGGUCAAGGGUUUCGGCGAUUCCGCAAUCAACUGGCAGGACCAAGGCGACCAAGUGGCGAUCAAUAUACUCCAUCAGGUGGUCAUCCAUGCGCCUUAUGCCACGGAGAAUAUUCGGUACCAGAGCUGGAAUCCCAAGCUAGCGAUAUACGUCCGAGGGGUCGUUCAAAGCAUUUGCAGUAAACAAUUCUAGAAGGACGGCCGUGCCCAUGGCAACAGUUGUCUAGAUAGCAUCCAAUUCUCUGUCAUACCCACUGACAUCGAGAACGAGUACUUCGACAGCAUACUCCUCUCGCAGUUGGACGCCUGGCUGGAGCAGGCCAAGCUCAUGCCCAA